UGCAAGGCGCGGCCGGGCGCGGGCGCGCUGGUGCGUGCGGGUGCGCUGGAGAAGGCGUGUGUAGGCAAAUGAGCCCAUUGUGUCCCUGCGUGUCCGCUCGUGUGCGUGUGAACAGAAAUCGGAAGGGGACAUCCUAACGGAGAAUUCCAAGUAGCCUGAAAGACAGCCCCAAGCCCCUGGACGGAAACCCCUAGAAUUUCUACUGGGUGUAUACUCUGGGUUAAUAUGUUGGUGCAAAAGUCAAGGAUGUGCAGAAGACAAAGACGAAUAAAAUGUGCCAGCCCUUCAAGGAGUUUGCCAUAGCCAACCGUUCAAGGAGUAAUGUUUAGCAACAGUUCAAGGAGGAAUGAUGCACUGUUCUGAGGCCACCAAGAUGAAGAAGACAAGGUCCAUGUCCUCAAGACGAUUAUAACACCUGAAAUGUUCUUUCCUAUUCAACCAGCUGACGAAUGGUGGAUUACUGGCCUCUUCCCUGAUGCGGCCAGGCUGUCCAACUUUGCUGCCGAAACGCCCCGUGAUCAGACAAAUUCAUCCACAACAAGCUACUUGAGUGGUACCUGAGAAAAUAGAGAGAACACGGACUUGAGAUGUGGAAGAUCCGGAACUGAGGCUUCUGAGGACCUUGGGCAAGUCUCUCCUCCAUAAAAUGAAGAGUAACAGGACAGUGCCUGUCCCCCAGAAAUUCCAGGAGGAUUCAUGAGGCAGCCCCUGGGAGAAGGCAGCCAGAACCCGGGGGCAAGGAGCCCUUCCUGACCUACGAGGGACUCAGAUGUCUGGCUCCCUCCUGCAUGGCCACGGAGACAGUUGCAGCUGCUGGAGAGGGAAAUUCAGCGCUUUAUCGCAGGACCACUACCUGGAAAUGGAAUAUUUCCCCCCACAAAUAGUCUGUUA
Long non-coding RNA from Mustela erminea (ermine), 891 nucleotides. RefSeq lists it as uncharacterized. The transcript is spliced from 5 exons. The record is from RefSeq and is a predicted model, not a curated record. NCBI's taxonomy places the organism in Eukaryota, Metazoa, Chordata, Mammalia, Carnivora, Mustelidae.